Molecule: ribosomal RNA, 253 nt
Filed under: uncultured bacterium
Lineage: Bacteria
Description: partial 16S ribosomal RNA
Rfam family: Bacterial small subunit ribosomal RNA
Source: RNAcentral
UACAGAGGGUGCAAGCGUUGCUCGGAAUCAUUGGGCGUAAAGGGCAAGUAGGUGGUCUCAUUUGUCUAGGGUGAAAUCCUUGAGCUUAACUCAAGAAGUGCCCUAGAAACGGUGAGACUCGAGUACUGGAGAGGGUCGUGGAAUUCCCGGUGUAGCGGUGAAAUGCGUAGAGAUCCGGAGGAAGACCGGUGGCGAAGGCGGUCUGCUGGGCAGUUUCUGACACUGAGGCGCGACAGCGUGGGGAGCAAACAGG